UACGUAGGGUGCAAGCGUUAAUCGGAAUUACUGGGCGUAAAGCGUGCGCAGGCGGUUCGGAAAGAAAGAUGUGAAAUCCCAGGGCUUAACCUUGGAACUGCAUUUUUAACUACCGGGCUAGAGUGUGUCAGAGGGGGGUGGAACUCCACGUGUAGCAGUGAAAUGCGUAGAUAUGUGGAGGAACACCGAUGGCGAAGGCAGCCCCCUGGGAUAACACUGACGCUCAUGCACGAAAGCGUGGGGAGCAAACAGG
RNAcentral lists this ribosomal RNA (253 nucleotides) under uncultured bacterium. RNAcentral describes it as "partial 16S ribosomal RNA". It matches the Rfam family "Bacterial small subunit ribosomal RNA", at positions 524 to 776 of the family's 1533-position model. The record is from RNAcentral.